Molecule: ribosomal RNA, 253 nt
Filed under: uncultured organism
Description: partial 16S ribosomal RNA
Rfam family: Bacterial small subunit ribosomal RNA
Source: RNAcentral
AACGUAGGACGCAAGCGUUAUCCGGAGUUACUGGGUGUAAAGGGCGCGUAGGCGGCUACGCACGUCCGUUGUGAAAUCGCUCGGCUCAACUGGGCGGGGUCAGCGGAUACGGUGUAGCUGGAGCAAGCUAGGGGGCAAUGGAAUUCCCGGUGUAGUGGUGGAAUGCGUAGAUAUCGGGAGGAACACCAGUGGCGAAGGCGGUUGCCUGGAGCUUUGCUGACGCUGAUGCGCGAAAGCGUGGGGAGCGAUCCGG